UGAUCUUGUUUAGGCCAUCAUCUCAUUAUGCUCAGUCCAUGGAUAAAUAUAACAGGAUGAUGGCCUAAACAAGACCA
This is a microRNA precursor of Rhinopithecus bieti (black snub-nosed monkey), 77 nucleotides long. Lineage: Eukaryota; Metazoa; Chordata; Mammalia; Primates; Cercopithecidae. The record is from Ensembl.